Molecule: microRNA precursor, 96 nt
Filed under: Nicotiana sylvestris (wood tobacco)
Lineage: Eukaryota; Viridiplantae; Streptophyta; Magnoliopsida; Solanales; Solanaceae
Description: MIR6152 microRNA precursor family
Rfam family: MIR6152 microRNA precursor family
Source: Rfam by way of RNAcentral
UGGACAAAUUAUUGUAUUCGACUGUACUCACGGUGUAAAACAUGGGAUUACACUGUUUUUAAACGAAAAGUGAAUCAAUUAACAUAAUAAACUCCU